CCCCCCCCUCCCCGCGGAAGGGAAAAGGGAGAAAAAAGAGAGAGAACUGAGAAGCCCCGGCCCAGCCCGAGCCGAGGUGCUCCUGAGGGCGGGGGCGGGGGGGUCCCAGCCUUCUCCACCCCCACCCGCAGAGGGAGACCGAAGCGCGAGGAGUUUCCCCUCCUCACCAAGCAGCAGAUUGCCGCUUCCCUAAUGCUUAUCCCCCCGUGUCCCUGUGGAAAGAUAAAUCCCCGGCAUUUACCUCGGUCCGGGGAGGAGAGAGGGCAGAGAAAGCCUCAAACCCACCAACGCCGACUUAUGAAAAUCACGCGGUCGCUUGAGGAUGACGGACGCCGUUACUCCGAUUUGACGGCUAAGGGGAACGUUUCACUGCUGGCAGCUCCGAAGACAGAGCUCUCCGGAUCCAUCCCUCCUCACUCGUCGCUUUCACUGCCCCUCCCUCCCUUCUGCCUGACCCUUCGGGGCCCGCGCCGUCGGGCCGAGGGCACUCCCGGCCUCCUCCUCUCCGCUCUCCCCCAGAUGCCAUAUGAACCAAGGGAUGGAACAUGUCCUCUUUGAAGACAGGCUGAGAGAGAUUGGGCUGUUCAGCCUGGAGAAGAGAAGGCUCUGGGGAGACCUGAGAGCAACCUUUCAGCAUCUGAAGAGGGGCUAUAAGAAAGAAAGCUACUGACUCUUUAGCAGGGUCUGUUGUGAUGGGACAGGGAGAAAUGGUUUCAAACUAAAAGAGGAGAGAUUCCAAUUGGAUGUAAGGAAGAAGUUCUUUACAAUACGUGUGGUGAGGUGCUGGAACAUCUUGCACAGAGAGAUGGUGGAUGCCCUGUCCCUGGAGGCAUUCAAGGUCAAGCUGGAUGGGGCCCUGAGCAACCAGAUGUAGCUGUAAUUGUCCCUGUUCAUUGCAGGGAAGUUGGGCUAGAUGGUCUCCAAGGGUCCCUUCCAACUCAAACAAUUCUAUAAUUCUGUAAUCUUCUGAUUCUAUGAAAUAUUUAUUACCUGAUUGCAUUUUCCAAAAUGUUUUUCCUUUCAUUGCCCUUGAAUAGUUUUUGUCUGCACAACUGUAUUUAUUAUUCAGAAAUACUUAUCAGAUGCUUCAUACAAAUAAGUCACUUAAAUUAUGUUUUGUAGUGCAGUUGAUUUAUAUCACCUAGUAUUGUGAACACUUGAUUGCAUGACUUAAAACCAAAUGGGAAAUAAAAUGUAAUGCCACAUAGUACAGUCAAUUAGCAGUCAGUAAUUCUGAAAUGGGACCAUAUCACAUAGCAUUUGUUUGAAUACCUACGAAUUCAAUAGAAGUCUUCAGCUAAUCUUUGUAAAACAUGUUUGUCAAGUCUGAGGAUAGAAAUAUUUUUCUGUUACCUAAUCUAAACCUCAGGUCUGCAGCUGUCUAAAUUCCAUGUGAUGAGCUUUUAUUUAUUUAUUUACUUUAAAAUCCAUUUACUGGACUCAUUAAAGACAAGAACAGUAGGAAAAACCUACUCCUAAUUUUCAAAUGGAUGUCCUAAAGAAUUUUACAGUAAGCAUCCCAACAGGUUUGGCUCAGAGCUAAGGGAAGACUCAUGGAUGUUGACUGAGUUGCUCACGUUUCUACAUCGUAGUCCAAUGACUUUAACCCUGUAUAUUCUCAUGAAAGCAAGAGCACAGCAUCACAUAGUCUAAAGUGAUAUAAAAUAAUUCUAAAAGUUUACAGUUAUCUAACCACUGUCUUUUGUUUUUAUUACAAGCAACACAUGCUCCAUGCCUAUUUAAAAUGAAGGCUUCUGAUUGAGCCAUUAGAAGUCAGUAACAAUACAUAGUGAACUUGAGAAAAAAUCUGUAGAGAUUUUGUUCUACAGAUUCUUCAGAACAUUAAUUUCACAUCCUGUUCUUUAAAAUGCGUUCCCUUUUGUAGCAAUAAUUAUUGAGGAUGUGAGUAAAUCAGAGUCUGAAUCAUUUAAGACCUCUACAUCCAUGAAUAAUGAUCACCAGUGACUAUUUCUAAGCUAUGUAUUUAUGCAGUAAUUUGAACAAUGAAAUCUUGAUGUGUUUCUUGAAAAUAAACAUUUAAAUAAACAUCUUCUUCUGCACUGAGAUG
Long non-coding RNA from Gallus gallus (chicken), 2068 nucleotides. Lineage: Eukaryota; Metazoa; Chordata; Aves; Galliformes; Phasianidae. The record is from Ensembl.